CAGUAGCCGCGGGAAUACGUAGGGUGCAAGCGUUAAUCGGAAUUACUGGGCGUAAAGCGUGCGCAGGCGGUUCGCUAAGACAGAUGUGAAAUCCCCGGGCUUAACCUGGGAACUGCAUUUGUGACUGGCGGGCUAGAGUAUGGCAGAGGGGGGUAGAAUUCCACGUGUAGCAGUGAAAUGCGUAGAGAUGUGGAGGAAUACCGAUGGCGAAGGCAGCCCCCUGGGCCAAUACUGACGCUUAUGCACGAAAGCGUGGGGAGCAAACAGGAUUAGAUACCCGUGUAGUCCCUGUCUCUUAUAC
This 301-nucleotide ribosomal RNA is filed under the name uncultured bacterium. Its description in RNAcentral is "partial 16S ribosomal RNA". It matches the Rfam family "Bacterial small subunit ribosomal RNA", at positions 509 to 807 of the family's 1533-position model. The record is from RNAcentral.